CUGCGGCGGCCUAUACAUGCAAGUCGAACGGUAACAGUCCCGGCAACGGGAGCUGACGAGUGGCGCACGGGUGCGUAACACGUAUGCAACCUACCCUGUACUGGGGGAUAACCCUGAGAAAUCGGGGCUAAUACCCCAUGGUAAUAUAGAAGGACAUCCUUUUAUAUUUAAAGAUUCAUUGGUACGGGAUGGGCAUGCGCCCCAUUAGUUAGUUGGUGAGGUAACGGCUCACCAAGGCGUUGAUGGGUAGGGGUUCUGAGAGGAUUACCCCCCACACUGGUACUGAGACACGGACCAGACUCCUACGGGAGGCAGCAGUAAGGAAUAUUGGGCAAUGGAGGCAACUCUGACCCAGCCAUGCCGCGUGCAGGAAGACUGCCCUAUGGGUUGUAAACUGCUUUUUCAGGGGACUAACCGUGGUUACGUGUAACCAACUGCAUGUACCCUGCGAAUAAGCAUCGGCUAACUCCGUGCCAGCAGCCGCGGUAAUACGGAGGAUGCGAGCGUUAUCCGGAUUUAUUGGGUUUAAAGGGUGCGUAGGCUAACAUGUAAGUCAGUGGUGAAAGACCCCGGCUUAACCGGGGGGUUGCCAUUGAAACUGUAUG
RNAcentral lists this ribosomal RNA (605 nucleotides) under uncultured bacterium. RNAcentral describes it as "bacterial SSU rRNA". It matches the Rfam family "Bacterial small subunit ribosomal RNA", at positions 36 to 639 of the family's 1533-position model. The record is from RNAcentral.